RNAcentral lists this ribosomal RNA (425 nucleotides) under uncultured bacterium. RNAcentral's name for it is "partial 16S ribosomal RNA". It matches the Rfam family "Bacterial small subunit ribosomal RNA", at positions 354 to 796 of the family's 1533-position model. The record is from RNAcentral.
GUGGGGAAUCUUGCGCAAUGAGCGAAAGCCUGACGCAGCCAUGCCGCGUGAAUGAUGAAGGUCUUAGGAUUGUAAAAUUCUUUCACCGGGGACGAUAAUGACGGUACCCGGAGAAGAAGCUCCGGCUAACUUCGUGCCAGCAGCCGCGGUAAUACGAAGGGGGCUAGCGUUGCUCGGAAUUACUGGGCGUAAAGGGCGCGUAGGCGGACAGCUUAGUCAGAGGUGAAAGCCCAGGGCUCAACCUUGGAAUUGCCUUUGAUACUGGCUGUCUUGAGUUUGGGAGAGGGGAGUGGAACUCCGAGUGUAGAGGUGAAAUUCGUAGAUAUUCGGAAGAACACCAGUGGCGAAGGCGACUCACUGGCCCAAUACUGACGCUGAGGCGCGAAAGCGUGGGGAGCAAACAGGAUUAGAUACCCCAGUAGUCC